RNAcentral lists this ribosomal RNA (253 nucleotides) under uncultured bacterium. RNAcentral's name for it is "partial 16S ribosomal RNA". It matches the Rfam family "Bacterial small subunit ribosomal RNA", at positions 524 to 776 of the family's 1533-position model. The record is from RNAcentral.
GACAGAGGGUGCAAACGUUGUUCGGAAUUAUUGGGCGUAAAGAGCUCGUAGGCGGUUUGUCGCGUCUGCUGUGAAAACCCGAGGCUCAACCUCGGGCCUGCAGUGGGUACGGGCAGACUAGAGUGCGGUAGGGGAGAUUGGAAUUCCUGGUGUAGCGGUGGAAUGCGCAGAUAUCAGGAGGAACACCAAUGGCGAAGGCAGAUCUCUGGGCCGUAACUGACGCUGAGGAGCGAAAGCAUGGGGAGCGAACAGG